GAAUGCACCUUUCAUGAGGGCAGGGCUUUAUCUUCUUGCUCACUUCUGUUUCUCCCUGAGCCAGUACACACCUGCUCCUCAGUAAGCCCGUGUUGAAUGAAUAUGGAAGGAAUGGGGGCCAGAUCCCAAGCAGUCCUUCAAAGUUGGUCCCACAAAACUUCUUCUAGGGAGCCCCAGGGCAGGGGGCCAGUGCUGACCUGAGGACCUGCUGGCACUGGUGGGCUGUGGCUGGUGGUGUCAGCUCUCAGCAAGGGGCUAAUGUGGACCCUGGAGUCCACCCCACCCGUUUCCCUCAGUUACUAGUGGACUAGUUACUCAUCCCCUCUGGGCCUCCCUUUUCUCCUGUGGAAAAUGAGAGAAUAGCAAUUACCUCGCAGGGCUUUUAUGAGGGUGAAAUAGGAUAAUUUAUGUAAAACAGGGCUCAGGGCUGGCUUGGAGUAAAGCUGUCCAGAUGGUAGCUAUUAUUAUUGUUGUUGUUAGUGUCAUACCCAGUGCCUUUCUUCAGUGCUUGAAUGGGGUGCCCAAGGAACUUGGGGGUGGUGGUGAGGAGACAAGGAAGUCAAGGGAAGUAAAGAGCUGGAAUGGAGUAAUGGUGUGCGUGUGCGUGUGCGUGUGUACACACACGUAUGAGUGAGUGCUCGCUCCUGGAAAGGGGGUGGCGAGUUUUCUGAGAGCGCGCUCCUUUCUCGGAGCUCAGCUCUGGGGUGCCGGUCGCCCUGGCUCUGCCAGAGAGCCCAGAGCCGCUUUGCUCCGGUGCUCGGGACGCAGAAAAAACC
RNAcentral lists this long non-coding RNA (776 nucleotides) under Marmota monax (woodchuck). The record is from RNAcentral. Lineage: Eukaryota; Metazoa; Chordata; Mammalia; Rodentia; Sciuridae.